GACGAACGCUGGCGGCGUGCUUAAGACAUGCAAGUCGAACGAAGUUUAAGAGAGUUUACUUUUUUAUACUUAGUGGCGGACGGGUGAGUAACGCGUGAGCAAUCUACCUUUUGCUGGGGGAUAACAACUAGAAAUAGUUGCUAAUACCGCAUAAGACCACAAUACCGCAUGGUGUUGAGGUAAAAGAGUUAUGUAUCGGCAAUUGACGAGCUUGCGUCCCAUUAGUUUGUUGGUAAGGUAACGGCUUACCAAGGCUACGAUGGGUAGCCGACCUGAGAGGGUGAUCGGCCACACUGGAACUGAGAUACGGACCAGACUCCUACGGGAGGCAGCAGUCGGGAAUAUUGGGCAAUGGAGGCAACUCUGACCCAGCAACGCCGCGUGAAGGAUGAAGGCCCUAGGGUUGUAAACUUCUGUUGUAAGGGAAGAAAAAAAUGACGGUACCUUAUUAGAAAGCCCCGGCAAACUAUGUG
RNAcentral lists this ribosomal RNA (473 nucleotides) under uncultured organism. Its description in RNAcentral is "bacterial SSU rRNA". It matches the Rfam family "Bacterial small subunit ribosomal RNA", at positions 28 to 507 of the family's 1533-position model. The record is from RNAcentral.